GCCGGGCGCGGUGGCGCAUGCCUGUAGUCACAGCUACUCGGGAGGCUGAGGCUGGAGGAUCGCUUGAGUCCAGGAGUUCUGGGCUAUAGUGCACUAUGCUGAUCAGGUGUCAGCACUAAGUUCAGCAUCAAUAUGGUGACCUCCCGGGAGCGAGGGACCACCAGGUUGCCUAAGGAGGGGUGAACCAGCCCAUGUCAGAAACGGAGCAGGUCAACACCCCCGUGCUGAUCAGUAGUGGGAUCGCACUGUGAAUAGCCACUGCACUCCAGCCUGGGCAACAUAGUGAGACCCCGUCUCU
RNAcentral lists this signal recognition particle RNA (298 nucleotides) under Cebus imitator (Panamanian white-faced capuchin). RNAcentral describes it as "Metazoan signal recognition particle RNA (ENSCCAG00000009535.1)". It matches the Rfam family "Metazoan signal recognition particle RNA". From Rfam's summary of the family: The signal recognition particle (SRP) is a universally conserved ribonucleoprotein. It is involved in the co-translational targeting of proteins to membranes. The record is from RNAcentral. Lineage: Eukaryota; Metazoa; Chordata; Mammalia; Primates; Cebidae.